UGGUAACCUUAACCAAUCUUGUGCACAUACUAGGGCCUCCACAAUUUUAGGAGUUAAAGAACUCCUAAAUGCAUCUAAUACCCUUCCACUAGUACUAAAUG
Molecule: long non-coding RNA, 101 nt
Organism: Ipomoea nil (Japanese morning glory)
Lineage: Eukaryota; Viridiplantae; Streptophyta; Magnoliopsida; Solanales; Convolvulaceae
Exons: 3
Source: RefSeq, a predicted model, not a curated record